Long non-coding RNA from Lolium perenne, 938 nucleotides. RefSeq lists it as uncharacterized. The record is from RefSeq and is a predicted model, not a curated record. NCBI's taxonomy places the organism in Eukaryota, Viridiplantae, Streptophyta, Magnoliopsida, Poales, Poaceae.
UCACCCACGAGGUCGACCCCGUGUUUCUGGUCGUGGAAAGGGAAGACGAGAGAAAGAGGCGACGCGACGGCGGCGACAGGCGGCGGGUAAAGGAGACGGCGGCGACAGGCGGCGGAGAAAGGAGACGCCGGCGACAGGCGGCGGGGAAAGGAGACGCCGGCGACAGGCGGCGGGGAAAGGAGACGCCGGUGGGGACUGAACGAGCAAACCCGACGGCGACGGCGAGAACCUGCUCCGGCGACUGGUCCCAUUUCACUACCAGAAACACGACCCCCACCGUCGCCGCAGUACACGGUCUCCGCCGCCGUCGCUGCAGGCCCGGUCCCGGCCGCGGUCGCUGCUACAUCUACUCUCCAGUCCGCAGCCACCGCAUCCGGCUUCCAGUCCGCCGCCGCUGCAUCUAGCUGCAACUUCAACUACCCGUCAAUGAACAAGGGCACAAGCCAAUCCACGGUAUGAUAGCAGGACGAGUACUCCCCACCCCUAUCCCCUAUAUGUGCAACGUUGAUGAUGUUGAGGCCAGGAGAUGCGACAGCAAGGAACCUGGUGGCAGGACGCUCAGAUCUGGUCGCCUCCAUGCCGUUCCCGGGAUUGGGGAAGAAUUAAGCAAUUGUAGGGCAAGGGUAGGGAAUAUCAUCAGUAUAAGAAAUCUGGUUAUCCCUCAACAGGAAGAGGAUCAUCAUAAAGAGAAGCUUACAACCGAAGCUGAAGCAAAAGCAUCAUAGAACAUAAGGUCUCCGGUGCUGAAUAUUUACUUGAUGCACCUCUGUGCGUUUUGAAAUGGUUGAACCUGUGUUUAUUUUGACAUUUGAUGCAUGUACGGGAAUUCUGUAUGAAAAUAUAUAUGAUUUCAUAACUCUACUAUUCAUGUAUGUGACAGAUUUUGAUGUGUAUGCUUUAUAUAUCCCGAGUAAUGGAACAAUUAUGUAGAAAACCAA